CUCUAAAUAACUACACGUACUACAUGGUGCCUUCUUCCCCUCCCCUCCAAUUCUCCGCAAUCCAUCCCCACAUGAAAAACAAAUCUAUCCAGAUCUCGCCAACAUGCCCGUGGUCCCUCGCUGCUCAAGAAUUUCCCACACUGCGCCAAGGUUGCUCCUGGUCGGUUGCUGUCAUUAAACAGCUAGCUUCAAAAGCUAGCAGGCAAGCAGGUGGAUGUAUUCCGCCAAAGUCCCACGUAUGAAGCCCGCGCGCACACAGAGCCGACGGCAUGAUGUGUAUGAGAGUUUCGGCGAGAAGCAAACGCACGCACGCGACAACGGAGGACUACAGAUUAAAAUACGCCGGCAUGAAGCACACGUCGGCAUGGUCCUAUUUGAUAUCUCCUAUUGAUCUCACCAUAGAUUAUAUGGGGGUGUUACCUACAUGCAUGUAUAUAUAUUACUAGGCCAAAUCCACUAGGCAUACGAUCCUACAUCAGAUUAACUCUAACAGCCUAUACACUAAAUAAGUACUUAUCUUCAGAAUUUUGUGUUCCUUCACCGGUUAAUCUUUUUGUAUCCCUUUAAUUUUUUAUAUUCAAGUUUA
Long non-coding RNA from Triticum aestivum (bread wheat), 586 nucleotides. RefSeq lists it as uncharacterized. The transcript is spliced from 2 exons. Lineage: Eukaryota; Viridiplantae; Streptophyta; Magnoliopsida; Poales; Poaceae. The record is from RefSeq and is a predicted model, not a curated record.